RNAcentral lists this ribosomal RNA (474 nucleotides) under Veillonella dispar. RNAcentral describes it as "bacterial SSU rRNA". It matches the Rfam family "Bacterial small subunit ribosomal RNA", at positions 28 to 478 of the family's 1533-position model. The record is from RNAcentral. Lineage: Bacteria; Bacillati; Bacillota; Negativicutes; Veillonellales; Veillonellaceae.
GACGAACGCUGGCGGCGUGCUUAACACAUGCAAGUCGAACGAAGAGCGAUGGAAGCUUGCUUCUAUCAAUCUUAGUGGCGAGCGGGUGAGUAACGCGUAAUCAACCUGCCCUUCAGAGGGGGACAACAGUUGGAAACGACUGCUAAUACCGCAUACGAUCUAACCUCGGCAUCGAGGAUGGAUGAAAGGUGGCCUCUAUUUAUAAGCUAUCACUGAAGGAGGGGAUUGCGUCUGAUUAGCUAGUUGGAGGGGUAACGGCCCACCAAGGCGAUGAUCAGUAGCCGGUCUGAGAGGAUGAACGGCCACAUUGGGACUGAGACACGGCCCAGACUCCUACGGGAGGCAGCAGUGGGGAAUCUUCCGCAAUGGACGAAAGUCUGACGGAGCAACGCCGCGUGAGUGAUGACGGCCUUCGGGUUGUAAAGCUCUGUUAAUCGGGACGAAAGGCCUUCUUGCGAAUAGUUAGAAAGGAAU